Alligator mississippiensis (American alligator) is the source of this 1565-nucleotide long non-coding RNA. RefSeq lists it as uncharacterized. Lineage: Eukaryota; Metazoa; Chordata; Crocodylia; Alligatoridae. The record is from RefSeq and is a predicted model, not a curated record. The transcript is spliced from 3 exons.
UAACACUGUGGGAUUUAGUCCCCAAGGAGCUCCCAUUGAGACACCAUUUAAAGGCCCUUCUGGGCUUACAUCACCUUUUUGCACUGGCCCAUCUAAUUCUGGUAACAGUCAGGCACUCUGCUGCGACAGCAUGCACAAGUCUAUGAAACAGCCCUGUAUCUGCAGCUGUACUUACCAAAUACUGGGGUAUGUUGAGGGCCACACAAGGCGUCAGUGAAAAACACAGGAAAGAACAGCAAGGGUUUCCCUGAUUGACUUUUGCUCUACAGGAAAUGGACAAGUACCUUUCGAUCCUUGCUGCAUCAUUCUCCUACAUCACAGUACCGGCUCCAAGUCAUACUUUGUAAGAUGUUGAAACAGGAAGGGAGGAAUACCAACAGCCUCACCCACUGCAUGUAUUUACAGUGAGAAAAUUCCUUACCUCCCAAUCGGUGUAGCUCCACAGUACCUAUAUGGGAUCCACAACAGCUAAGCAUUUUAUGAUCUUUUUGGACCCAGAGAUACUCUCUAUAUGCAAAAUAAUUGUUUUAUUCUUGAAGCCUAAUGAGGUGUAGUCUCUCUGUAUGUCUAGGACCACAGCAGAGAAAUCCAGAUACUGAGGCUCCCCCUUCCAGGAAUAUUCAUGUAUGUCCAGGCCAUGAUUUAACUUGGAGACUUAAUAUAACAAAAUCUCGAGGUCCACCAAGAGGUGGCAAAACACCUGAAGGUGGCCAGCAAACGUAAGUCAUCCUGUGAACAUCCCAAGUGAGUGACUCCUCAGGCACACAUGAUGGCUUUCUGGCUUUCCAGCAGCUAGAUUCUAGCUGAGAUGAGAGAGGAAAUGUUACGUUGAUGGUUAUAUUUCAGGUGCUUGUCGCACCCCACCUGUGUCCAUUAGAGCAGAAUUAAAUCAACAAGAUUAGAUAUAUUCUCACCAAAGGCGGUUCUGCAGCCUGAUUCAAGCACAUGAAUACUCUGUGUCCUGCUUCAAGUACUGUUCCUGCUCCAAGGAUGGAUGCAAAUCCCUCCUAAAGGCAGUUCAGAGCCACUGUGCAGGCACUUAGAUCUGCCGUUGCAAGCUACAUGUCAUCUUUGAAGGCUGGGAAAUUGAAGAGUGCCAGCACAGUGAUACCCAGCCAUGAAGCUGGUGCUUGGCACAUCUCAUCCCUUGCAACUACAGGAGAAAAGCAGGGGUAAAAUUUCAAACUGCAUUUUACAGUGGUAAGAGGCCACUCUCCUAUCUAAGUGCAGUGUAAGCGUCACCUUCUCACACCCAGGGCUCAUGCUGCGGCUGACUAUACUCAAGAAGAGGGAGAAAAUACCGAAUCAGAAAUUCAGUGCACUUGGAGACCUCAUUUUAUUGCUCUUAAACAUUUGCACACAUUCUUCUUAUGCUAAGCAGCUUAAACACAAUCAAACCUAGGUGCAAAUUACCAAGACAAAUACUGUUGUUCCUAUCUGCUCUCUUUGAACAUAAAAGAAAAACCUCAUAGUGCAAAAAUAAAAUCUUGUGAUAAAAUGACUAAUACAUGACUAAAGCUCUUUUCCAUUGUGCAGGCAUAGCUCUGGGGAUCAUUUGUUUUUCA